UUAAGUUAUUAAGGGCGCACGGUGGAUGCCUUGGCACUAGAAGCCGAUGAAGGACGUUACUAACGACGAUAUGCUUUGGGGAGCUGUAAGUAAGCUUUGAUCCAGAGAUUUCCGAAUGGGGAAACCCAGCAUGAGUUAUGUCAUGUUAUCGAUAUGUGAAUACAUAGCAUAUCAGAAGGCACACCCGGAGAACUGAAACAUCUUAGUACCCGGAGGAAGAGAAAGAAAAUUCGAUUCCCUUAGUAGCGGCGAGCGAAACGGGAAGAGCCCAAACCAAAAAGCUUGCUUGUUGGGGUUGUAGGACACUCUAUACGGAGUUACAAAGGACGACAUUAGACGAAUCAUCUGGAAAGAUGAAUCAAAGAAGGUAAUAAUCCUGUAGUCGAAAAUGUUGUCUCUCUUGAGUGGAUCCUGAGUACGACGGAGCACGUGAAAUUCCGUCGGAAUCUGGGAGGACCAUCUCCUAAGGCUAAAUACUCUCUAGUGACCGAUAGUGAACCAGUACCGUGAGGGAAAGGUGAAAAGCACCCCGGAAGGGGAGUGAAAUAGAACCUGAAACCGUGUGCUUACAAGUAGUCAGAGCCCGUUAAUGGGUGAUGGCGUGCCUUUUGUAGAAUGAACCGGCGAGUUACGAUUUGAUGCAAGGUUAAGCAGUAAAUGUGGAGCCGUAGCGAAAGCGAGUCUGAAUAGGGCAUUUAGUAUUUGGUCGUAGACCCGAAACCAGGUGAUCUACCCUUGGUCAGGUUGAAGUUCAGGUAACACUGAAUGGAGGACCGAACCGACUUACGUUGAAAAGUGAGCGGAUGAACUGAGGGUAGCGGAGAAAUUCCAAUCGAACCUGGAGAUAGCUGGUUCUCUCCGAAAUAGCUUUAGGGCUAGCCUCAAGUGAUGAUUAUUGGAGGUAGAGCACUGUUUGGACGAGGGGCCCCUCUCGGGUUACCGAAUUCAGACAAACUCCGAAUGCCAAUUAAUUUAACUUGGGAGUCAGAACAUGGGUGAUAAGGUCCGUGUUCGAAAGGGAAACAGCCCAGACCACCAGCUAAGGUCCCAAAAUAUAUGUUAAGUGGAAAAGGAUGUGGCGUUGCCCAGACAACUAGGAUGUUGGCUUAGAAGCAGCCAUCAUUUAAAGAGUGCGUAAUAGCUCACUAGUCGAGUGACACUGCGCCGAAAAUGUACCGGGGCUAAACAUAUUACCGAAGCUGUGGAUUGUCCUUUGGACAAUGGUAGGAGAGCGUUCUAAGGGCGUUGAAGCAUGAUCGUAAGGACAUGUGGAGCGCUUAGAAGUGAGAAUGCCGGUGUGAGUAGCGAAAGACGGGUGAGAAUCCCGUCCACCGAUUGACUAAGGUUUCCAGAGGAAGGCUCGUCCGCUCUGGGUUAGUCGGGUCCUAAGCUGAGGCCGACAGGCGUAGGCGAUGGAUAACAGGUUGAUAUUCCUGUACCACCUAUAAUCGUUUUAAUCGAUGGGGGGACGCAGUAGGAUAGGCGAAGCGUGCGAUUGGAUUGCACGUCUAAGCAGUAAGGCUGAGUAUUAGGCAAAUCCGGUACUCGUUAAGGCUGAGCUGUGAUGGGGAGAAGACAUUGAGUCUUCGAGUCGUUGAUUUCACACUGCCGAGAAAAGCCUCUAGAUAGAAAAUAGGUGCCCGUACCGCAAACCGACACAGGUAGUCAAGAUGAGAAUUCUAAGGUGAGCGAGCGAACUCUCGUUAAGGAACUCGGCAAAAUGACCCCGUAACUUCGGGAGAAGGGGUGCUCUUUAGGGUUAACGCCCAGAAGAGCCGCAGUGAAUAGGCCCAAGCGACUGUUUAUCAAAAACACAGGUCUCUGCUAAACCGUAAGGUGAUGUAUAGGGGCUGACGCCUGCCCGGUGCUGGAAGGUUAAGAGGAGUGGUUAGCUUCUGCGAAGCUACGAAUCGAAGCCCCAGUAAACGGCGGCCGUAACUAUAACGGUCCUAAGGUAGCGAAAUUCCUUGUCGGGUAAGUUCCGACCCGCACGAAAGGCGUAACGAUUUGGGCACUGUCUCAACGAGAGACUCGGUGAAAUCAUAGUACCUGUGAAGAUGCAGGUUACCCGCGACAGGACGGAAAGACCCCGUGGAGCUUUACUGUAGCCUGAUAUUGAAAUUCGGCACAGCUUGUACAGGAUAGGUAGGAGCCUUUGAAACGUGAGCGCUAGCUUACGUGGAGGCGCUGGUGGGAUACUACCCUAGCUGUGUUGGCUUUCUAACCCGCACCACUUAUCGUGGUGGGAGACAGUGUCAGGCGGGCAGUUUGACUGGGGCGGUCGCCUCCUAAAAGGUAACGGAGGCGCUCAAAGGUUCCCUCAGAAUGGUUGGAAAUCAUUCAUAGAGUGUAAAGGCAUAAGGGAGCUUGACUGCGAGACCUACAAGUCGAGCAGGGUCGAAAGACGGACUUAGUGAUCCGGUGGUUCCGCAUGGAAGGGCCAUCGCUCAACGGAUAAAAGCUACCCCGGGGAUAACAGGCUUAUCUCCCCCAAGAGUUCACAUCGACGGGGAGGUUUGGCACCUCGAUGUCGGCUCAUCGCAUCCUGGGGCUGUAGUCGGUCCCAAGGGUUGGGCUGUUCGCCCAUUAAAGCGGUACGCGAGCUGGGUUCAGAACGUCGUGAGACAGUUCGGUCCCUAUCCGUCGUGGGCGUAGGAAAUUUGAGAGGAGCUGUCCUUAGUACGAGAGGACCGGGAUGGACAUACCUCUGGUGUACCAGUUGUCGUGCCAACGGCAUAGCUGGGUAGCUAUGUGUGGACGGGAUAAGUGCUGAAAGCAUCUAAGCAUGAAGCCCCCCUCAAGAUGAGAUUUCCCAACUUCGGUUAUAAGAUCCCUCAAAGAUGAUGAGGUUAAUAGGUUCGAGGUGGAAGCAUGGUGACAUGUGGAGCUGACGAAUACUAAUCGAUCGAAGACUUAAUCAA
This 2921-nucleotide ribosomal RNA is filed under the name Staphylococcus aureus DAR1311. RNAcentral's name for it is "bacterial LSU rRNA". It matches the Rfam family "Bacterial large subunit ribosomal RNA". The record is from RNAcentral. Lineage: Bacteria; Bacillati; Bacillota; Bacilli; Caryophanales; Staphylococcaceae.